Molecule: long non-coding RNA, 6995 nt
Organism: Anolis carolinensis (green anole)
Lineage: Eukaryota; Metazoa; Chordata; Lepidosauria; Squamata; Anolidae
Exons: 3
Source: RefSeq, a predicted model, not a curated record
UGGCCAUACAGCCCGAAAACAUACAACAACCCUGUGAUCCCGGCCAUAAAAGCCUUUGACAACACCUCCUCCAAUGUAAUUUCCAGUGAUCAAGGACAUGGACUUUAUAAUUCACAUUUCAAACGUCAUGAACCAGGACAUCUUGGUGGUGUGUGUGAAAUAAUACUAAAUUUAAAUGGAAAUUCAAAAAGGAUCUCAGUCAAGGGGUGCACUAACAAUGGGUUUGUGAGUAUUACACCAUAUUGCAAACCGAAUAUGUUAUAAAUUGGUGGUAAAAAGACAUGUUUGAGAGGGUAAAAAUUAUAACAAAUGGGAUCAAACCAUGGCAAAAUGAUUAAACCAAUGUGAUCAUAUUUUGACUAUAUCAUGAGAUGGCACAACUCAUUAGAAAAGACAAUAAUGUGUCGUCAAAGGCUUUCAUGGCCAGAAUCACUGGGUUGCUGUGAGUUUUCCGGGCUACAUGGCCAUGUUCUAGAAGUAUUCUCUCCUGACGUUUCACCCACAAAGCUGCAAGGCUUUUUGAUGCGAAUCAAGGCGAUUAAUUGCAACAUUCACACUUGCCUCAAACAAACAAGAGUUCUCUCCCACCCUGGACAUUCCACAGAUACAAAAAACCCACUUGCUUAGUUUCCAACAGACCUCACAAACUCUGAGGAUGCCUGCCAUAGAUGUGGGUGAAGCAUCAGGAGAGAAUGCUUCUGGAACAUGGCCAUACAGCCCGAAAAACUCACAGCAACCCAAAGACAAUAAUGCUGGACAAAGUAGAAGGCAGUAGGCAAAAUGGAAGGCUGCUUUACAAAUCAAUAGCUUUCAAUUAAGGAGGUCUGCUGGACCUAUUAAUAACCAUGGCUCUUGGAGACCUCUUAUUCAUUGGGUCGCCAUUAGCUGAAAUCAGCUUGAGAGCAUACAGCAAUAACAUUUGAGCUUUCUCACAUGGCAGCAAGAUGUCUUUGUGCUGGCCCAGACAAGCUUAUAAAUCAUACAUGGGGUUGAAAGAAAGAAACCUUUAGCUAAACUUGGAAAGUAUCUUCUGCUGACAUUUGUGGAAUUGCUUGAUAGACUGCUGACAAAGGAAAAGAAAACAUUCCAAAGGGUAACAAGUGAAGACCAGGCUUAUUUAAACCCAGUCAGCAUUUUCCUCGUGACCUACCAUUGUCUCUUAGCCAGUUUCUCUUCAGCAAGAAGAUUGGAAGGUAGAGGCACACAACAACAUGAUUUCUAAAUAUGAGAUUAUUCUAAUGGACGAUUCCAUUUGUAAGAUUUUUGAAAGCUGGAAAGCUGUUGAGAAAUAGCUGGGGAGAAAAUGGAGGUCUGCUCUUUGGAUAAGAAAGACAACAGACGAAAGAGUCUUUGGCUGCUUUCAAGUGUGGAUUGGAAACAAGAAAGUGGUCUGGGAGCACUGAAUAUUCAAUAGCUUUUAAAAUUAUUAAGGGGUAAACCUGGCCAGUAACCUCAAUGGGACACAACUAGAAAUUCCAAGUAUGAACUGGCUAUAUCUUUUUUAUUUUUUUUUCCAUUGUGGGCCGUGGCCCACUGAUGGGCUGUGAGACCUAAAAUAAAGUCCACAAGACAUGUGGGGAAAGUCAGCUCUAGAUUAUUAAAUAUGGUUUUCUGUGGGCAAGUAGAUGGCGACUACUGGAUGGUAUAUGUUCUGUAUCAGAAACUAGAGUUGAUGUGGUCUAUCCAAUGCAAUUUUCUGAAUCAGCACCCCAGAUAACCAAAUCGAAUUUAAAGUUGACCAAAAACUGAUUUGAAACCCUUUUGGUACUAAUGUUGAAGAGUGAUCCUUGGUCAAAGUGGUCCCUGGUCAAGUGGUCCCUGGUCAAAAAAAGGUUGAGAACCACUGGUCUAAGGAAGGAGGAGAUAUUUUUACAAGUACAAUAAAGGAGAAGAUUUGUUUCUGUUUCACAGUGUUGUGAUGAACACGGAGCUGAGAAAACCUGUUAUAUUUCUCAAAGGCAAAGAAGAGGUUCGUCUUUUAUCUUCAUGCAAUAGAAAGCUGUGAAUACAAGAACAUGAAACAACUCUCCUUAGUUUCUGUAGCCUUUCCCCCCAUUGACUUCAGGAAGCUCAUGAAGAGCCAUUUGGUAAUAUAUUGGCCAAGGGCAGAUACUGCUUCUGCGCAUUGACGACUAAUGACUAUCCUUCUGAACUGAGUUACAAAAUCUGUCUGGGUUCAUCAGAGGCUGAAUUCGGUGCCAUGAAUUUGUUUUGGUAUGACACACACCACCAGCUUGCUCUUGUGCUAUCGUUUUAUUAUUUAUUUAUUUAUUUAUUUGCAACAUUUAUACCCCGCCCUUCUCACCCGAGGGGACUCAGGGCGGCGGUUUUAUGCAUGGAUCUCCCAUGGAAUCUACUUUCAGAUCUCUUCCAUGUAGAAACAUCUUUUACCUCAGGUAACCUAGCACUGGGUGGUUUGUAGUGUAUCUUCAGGCCUGAAUCUCAGUUUCACACGAAGUUGUUUGGUCUCAGGGUUUGGUCACACAUUUCAGAGAAUGGAUGGGUAAUCUUUGGCCUUCUAGAUGAUGUUGGACUCCAAUGUAUGGGUGAUACAAUCAUAAACAACUACAACUUUUAUCUCAGAAAAAAGUAGAUAUGAUUGGCUUUCUAGUCCCAGCAACGUUGUCUUUAGUGCCAGUUCAGAGCCCAUGGUGUAUAAAGUAUGGGCUUCAACUCUGUGCGCAGUCACACAAAGUUCACAGAGCAUAAAAUGUUACUUUUUUGGACUCCAGCACCCCAAAUCCUUUAGCCAGCAAUUGUAGUUUAAAACAGCAUCUUUUCCAGGUUCUGUAGCAGCCCAUUUUCCAAAAACGGUAUGCAAUAAUAUAUGAAGGAGCUCAAGAGCUUAUCUUUGUCUCCUCAUGGAACAUAACUCUCUCUUUAGUCCAGCUUUCAGACAUUCUUUCUUUCUCAAAUGAAAGCUAUCUAUUUUGCAUCUGAGUUCACUCAAACAGGUUUAAUUUUUAAAGUUAACCUAUAUUUAACUCUUGUUUCAUUUAAGAUGAAGUCAGCACUCUUAUCUCUCUUGUUUCUCAUUACUCUACUGACUUCGCACUGACUACCUUCAGAUCAGCAAAGUUUUCAGCAGCUCACUCUUUGAGGAAGGAACAUGGCUUUUGCUUGUGCUUGGUUUCCAUUCAUGUCACGUCACUGCAAACUUGGUAGAAGCAGCAGGCAGCAUUCAUUCUCUCUCUCUCAUGUGUUACGAGAAGAGAAAAAGCUCUCCACUUGCUGGAGAGUCCGGGCGUUCCCAUCUACAAAUGGCCUCAUUCCCUUUCAGUUCCUUCAGUGGCAUUGGAUUGUGUUAACAAUAAUUUUUGGUUUAAAAAUACAGAAGGAAAAUAUUUCCAAACCGAUAUAGGGAUCAAUAGUGCUCAUUUUCCAUUUAGUUUACUUAUGAUUGAAUUAUCACCAGUUGUGUUUGAUUUGCAUUUCAUUGUCAUGUGAGCCAUCUGUUCUUAUCCCCUGCUCCACCCCAUCAAUACACCCAUGGUUGCUUUCCCACCUGCCAACAGAGAAUAACAUUUUAGGUAAAUGAUGAAGUUGACUUGAGUCCAUGGAAGCUCCUGCCAUAAUUUGUGUGCCUAUCUUUCAGAUUCAGUGAGACUCCUGUUUUGAGAUACAUUGAAAUGUGUGUCAGAAAAUGGACUUUGAGGUAGGUUUGCUUCAGCAAAACCAUAUGGAUAUACUGACUUCUGGAAAGGUCAUGUAAAACUAUUGAAUGCAGAAUGUCUGUUUUCAAAAUGCUUUUUAAGGACUGUAAUUUAAAAACAACUUCCUCUCCCCCAAAAAGGUAUUUGGAGCAUAUGCAUGCAGCUAUCUCUAAGAAAUGUAAGAGAAAUACAGGAGCCUGGAGGAUCCCAAAAAAUUAGCUAAAAUCUAAACAAGGCUUGUUAGUUUAAUUUGUGUUUUCAGGGCAACUGUCUUGGCUCAUUCUGAUGCUUCCCCCUCCAUGAACCCCCUGCUGCUUAUUUGCAUACAGCCAGAGCCUGGAGUAUUAGGACAAAAAACCAAACUCGGUAAAGUUUUCUUCAAAUGGCCCCACGCUAAUUCAGUUUAUAACUUGUGAGAAAAUGUGUAAUGCAUUAUGUUAAUAUGUAAUUUAUGUAUGGUCUUAAGUUGUAAAUUAAUUUUUAGUUUAUGGAUUGUGUUAUUAGUUAUUAGGUAUUUUUUAAAAUCCUGGGAAAAUAAAGAACAUUUUAAAGAGAGACACCCUAUCUAUGAGCCUUGUAUCUAAAUUCAAACCCUACUUUCCUGACUAAACAGAGCAAACUGCAGCCUUCCAGGUGUUACUGUAGCACAACUUCCAUCAGCUUUGUUCAUGAUACCUAGUGAUAAAGAAGACAGGAGUUGUGAUCCAGCAUCUGGAGGGCCGCAUCAAAUGACAUGGUGGGCCAAAUUCGGCACAGGUCUUGAGUUUAACAUAUGUGAUGGAGUGAAAGGGGUCCUACAUCAAAUUUUCAGAUGCACAAAACUGAAGGGGUAGCGAAUACAAUGGAAGAUAGGAACUGAAUGUGAAAGGACCUUGAUAAACUAGAAAACUGGUCUGAAAGAAUAAUAAAAUGAAAUUCAACAGAGACAAUAACAACAGCAACAAAACAAAUGCAUUGAUCAGGAUACUUGACUUAGUAGUUCUCUCUAUAUUCUUUGAGCUGCUUUGAGUCUCCUGCAGGAGAGAUGAAGCAGGGUAUAAAUACAAUAAUAGAAAUAAUAAAUAAAUAAAUAAAUAAAUAAAUAAAUAAACUGUACUGACUGGGCUGCAGUUGGAGUAAAAUGGCAAUAUCAAGUGUUACAAUUUUAUGAGAAAACAUCAGAAUUGACAUCUUUGAUAUUCUGUUGUAGGUAGGUAUCUAAUUAUCGUGUCACAGUUUAAACCAUUUCAAGCUUGACAAAGCCUUUCUUGUAACCUAAAUAGCCUAAAAGUAUCAGAUCCUAUCUGAUCUUGGAAGCUAAGCAGGGUCAGCUCUGGCUAAUACUUGGACAUAAUACCAUGUGUUAUGAGCAAUAUUUCAGAGGAAGGAAUUGACAAAAACCACUCAACUGCUUUACCUACACCAACCACAUAAUGCAGCACAAGCACAAAAAAUGUUUUCAGAUUGUUUGCUUCCUAUAAUUCAAACAAGAAACUUGCUCAGCUCUCUGGCUUCUUUGCCUUUACCCAUCCUCUUGUUUCAGCAGUUGUAAAUCUGGAUAAAUUCAAAGAAGGUAGGAAGGUGGUGCCAGGACCCUUUAAAACGAGGCAUUGGAGAUUGGACAUUCAAAUAUUGUUGCUGAUAAUGAACCAGGCCCAGAUCAAUACAAUUUGCUGCCUCAGAUGCUGCCAUGGGAGCAGGGGCGGUCCAACCGCAAGGUGAUUUAGGCACUUGUCUGUGCCGCCAUAGUCUCGGGGGCGCAGUUGAGGCCCCCGGGAGGAUGACGCCACCCCACCACCACCUUCUCCAUUGGGCCUUCCUUCAGCCUGUGCCCGCCUGGGCCUUCCGGCAGCUGCACUGGGCCUUCUGGCGGCCGAUGUGGGCCUUCUGGCGGCCACGCUGGGCCUUCCGCCGCCCACGCUGGGCCUUCUGGCCGGCGCAAACCCACCUUCGUGCUGAGUAGGCCCGCCUUCGGGGCUUUCAGAGGUUGUGAGCUCUGUUGGAACUUGGAAGCUAGAAGUUGUCAGUCAUCGGCAGACAGCCAAUGAGUGGGGAAUUAUAAGUGAGCAUCGUGUGAUAUUUGUUUUUGACAAAAUGAAAGAAAAACUUGAACAAACCUACUGCAUUAAAUUUUGUGUAAAGUUUGCCUGCAACCACUUCAGAGAUGAUCACACAUCAGUGGAGAGUUUCUCAAGUCACUCCAGACACGAAAAAAAUGGAGAAUGAAGCACGUUCUGGUAGGUACUCAAAAUCCAGAGAUCGUCAUCAACGAAGUGAGGACCCUGGUGAUGCAGAAUGGUUGAAUCGUGAUCAGAGAACUUGCAGACAAAGUGAGCAUCAGCACUAGAUCUGUUCAUUCCAUUUUGACUCAGAAUUUGUGGUUCAGGAGAAUCUCAGCGAAGUUCGUGGCGAAGCUACUAACAAUUGUACAGAAGCAACUCCAUUUGGAGAUCAUACAAGACAUGCUGCAGACUGUGAACAGUGCUACCAACUUCCUCAACACAGUGGUCACUGGUAAUGAGUUUUGGUUUAUGGGUAUGACCCAGAAACCAAGUUGCAAUCAUCACAAUGGAAGCAUCCAACAUCCCCGUGGCCAAAAAGAAACAAGGCAGGCCCGCAGAACUGUCAAAGUCAUGCUGACCAUCUUCUUUGACUCCAGGCCGGCAUGGUUCAUCAUGAGUAUGCACCACAUGGCAUGACCAUCACCAAGGAGUAUUAUCAAGAGUUUCUGCGUUGCCUUUGCAAUGCUGUGAGAUGCAAACAGCCGGAGCUGUGGGCAGCGGGCAAUGGGCAGCUCCAUCACAAUAAUGCACCCGCCCAUUCUUCACAUUUGAUACACACUUUCCUGGCCAAACACAACACACCUAUGCUUCGUCAGACUCUCUCAUCCCCUGACAUGGCUCUGUGUGAUUUCUGGCUUUUCCCCAAGCUGAAAAUGCCCCUGAAAGGAAUCAGAUUUCAGUCCAGAGAAGACAUUAUGCAAAAUGCAAAGGAGCAGCUACGCACCAUCUCAAAAGAGGUGUUUCAACUUUGUUUCCGACAGGCAGAACCAUUGGGAGAAGCCCAAGGGGAUUACUUUGAAGGAGAUUAGUUUGUUGUAUCCUAAUACAAAUAUAUAUAUUUUUAUGAAUAAAGGUUGGAUACUUUUUGAACACAACUCGUAUGUGCCUGCAAGGAGUGGGGGAAAAAAAGAGGAAGUUCAGUUGUAUGCAUGACUUUGUUCUCCUGCAAUUAUUCUUAGUCUGAAAAAUGUAACAUAUCUACUUUGUUGCCCUCCGCCCCAUGGCUCUCACUAUGCACCAUACUAUUAUUUUCCUUUUUCUUUGAAAUAAAACGUAAGCAAAUUCUUUAGUUCCAGUAAAA